CGGCACGCCUUAUACAUGCAAGUCGAACGAAGUAGCAAUACUUAGUGGCAGACGGGUGAGUAACAUGUAGGUAUCUUCCCUUUGGUGAGGAAUAACACGAGGAAACUUGUGCUAAUACCUCAUAAGUCUUUACGGAGAAAGCUUUAUGCGCCAUAGGAUGAGCCUGCACUUGAUUAGUUUGUUGGUGGGGUAAUGGCUUACCAAGACUUUGAUCAAUAGCUGAUCUGAGAGGAUGAUCAGCCACAUUGGGACUGAGACACGGCCCAAACUCCUACGGGAGGCAGCAGUAGGGAAUAUUGCACAAUGGAGGAAACUCUGAUGCAGCGAUGCCGCGUGAGUGAAGAAGGCCUUUGGGUUGUAAAGCUCUUUCGUCGGGGAAGAAAAUGACUGUACCCGAAUAAGAAG
This 405-nucleotide ribosomal RNA is filed under the name uncultured bacterium. RNAcentral describes it as "bacterial SSU rRNA". It matches the Rfam family "Bacterial small subunit ribosomal RNA", at positions 40 to 490 of the family's 1533-position model. The record is from RNAcentral.